UUCAAGAAUAGAGCCCCUGAGCGUAAAACUGUCAACGUAUAUUCUGCAGAACAUACUCAGUUUAAGCGCUACCUACGGCAGUGUCGGCGGUUCCCACAGUGUCCCUAGCUGUUUUGUCUUUCCGAUGAGUUUACGUUUGCUGGGUUGCACGAUUUUGCAAGAGAUUCUUUAUCCAAGGAAGCAGCCGAAGAACUGCCGAGGUGUCUCAAAUUAGUUUUAUAUCCGGACGAUGUAAAACCGGAUAAAAAUAUUAAGGACCAGUUAAGGAAAUAUUUGAUUUUUUCAGCGUAAUUGAUUGUAAUAUUGUUUUGUAAUAUGGUUGGUUGCAAUAUUGUUUUGUAGACUAAAAUGAAAUAAUAAAUUUAUUUCAAAGUUGCAUAAAAAAAUUCUUUUUUAAUAAAAUUCCACGGAUACGCCUAUCUAACCUAUAAAUCUGAUUCGAUGUGAGCGCGCGCGCAUAGGCGUGUAACUGUAUGCGUGCAUAUACAUGAUCGACCAUUCCCUGACGAUUCACAUACUAUACAGAUACUGCGGGAUAUUCGCAGGUACGUACUAUGCCGUAGGAGAAGCGAGACAUAGGAAGAUACUUAGUUUGUACUGUAGUAUAUCUCAGUACGUAUCUCGAUUGUUCCCAGUAUCUACGCAAUCUACUGUUCCGAUAUCCUGCGGAACGUUCUCAGAAUCCACGUGUGCUAUGUGGGUAUGUACACAACGAAAUUAACUCGCGUCUCAACAGGCAACUCCUCGCGACUAUAUUCGUCUGAGAGUAUUCCCGUUUCCAGUUACGCAUGUCGUUGCAAAGUAUAUAUACAUCAAGGGUAAGCUCUGAAAGUGCCCAUAUUUCCACGCGUGUAUAUCGCUUGGUAUUACUCAAUGUAGAAAAUGUCUUGGAACUUUUGACGAAAAUAAAGUCUCGGGUUCUCGUUGAAGUUCUAUAUCGUUAUAUGUAAUCUACAUAGUUUGAUUUCGAGUUAUGCAUAAAAUAAUGAUUUCAAUUUUCUAAGUUUUUUCAGGAGAGAGAGAGAGAGAGAGAGAGAGAGAGAGAGAGAGAGAGAGAGAGAGAGAGAGAACUUUUUUUAGAAGUUUAUUAAUUACUUUGUAAUUUUUUUAUAUUAUGCAUAAUAUACAUGUGCCUUAUUAAUAUUACAAUUAUUGUGUAUUUUCAUAAAGAAGACAAGGAAGGAGAAAAAUGUAUAAAAUUUUUAAUUCUAAUUAUUUGUUUAUCUUAAUUUAUUUAUUUAAUUGAGAAUCUAAUUAAUAAUAAUAAAUAAAUAUAAUAGUUGUUAAUAUUUUCGUAAUAAUUCUAGAUUCUAGAAUACUAUGUAUGUGUGUAUGAAAAAAGAAAUUUUAUAUAAAUGAUUUUAAAAGUCUUGUACAUAAUGAUUACUAAAGACCGGUCUGAGGUCGUAACGAAUUAGAAUUGAAAUAAAGUGAGGCAAAAUGAAGGAAAUGAAGCAAAGUAGCUUCUUUCAUAGGAAUUUCUGGGGUCACGUGAGCACCGUGAGCACACGUUUAUUAAAUUGCCACCCCCUAUAUGGGGGUGGCUAUGCCGCCGCGACGUUGCCACGUUUAAAUCUGAAUUAUCCGGACGGGCGUGGUCCUCAAUUAGCAUUCUUUUCUCUGAGGAAAGAAAAUAUCUUUUAACAUUCUGUUAAUAAACGUCUUAUUCAAGAUUUAACGAAAUUUUUAUCUUACGUUCUGAAAUCCCCUUUCUGAAAGAAAUAUUUUUACUGGAGCGAUCUAAUUUUUUAAUCUUGAUAAAAUCAACGCGAAUAAUAAAUAACGCAUUUUAACAUUAGAGGAAAGAUUAAUAAUAAAUAAAUAAAUGCUCAUAUAACUUGUAUGAACAUAUACUAUAACAAAUAAGCUCACAUAAAAGUAACGUAUACAGAUAUGUAUAAAUGAAUUCUAUUUUUAUCGAUUAUUUUUAUGAUGCCGGUUUUUUACUUUUCUAUCAGACUUGGAUUAUUAUUUAAAAAUAAUAAGCAUUAAUUUUGUAUUUUUUUAUUGAAUCUCGUUUUGGCAAUGUCACUCUGCAUUUCUGCGCGCACGGUGGCGUUAAUAUUUGAUUUAUCUAAAAUGAAAAUGGUACUCUCUCCUGAGAAACUACUCUUUUCCAAACUCAGCACAAAACUUUGCACAUCUCUAUUAUUUUAUCAUCUCACUGCGUACUAGUGCAAAGUUCGGUCGAUUCGCGCAACGGUGAUCUCAGCAAAUGUGAGGCGAUUCAGAAAUGAUUGCCAAAAUUUCUUUUGAGCUGGAAAUAAUCCGCUUAUCAACUGAUUUAAAUAUGAAUCUUGCAAUGUAAGGAAAGUAAAUACAGUAGGAAUAUAUUUUGAAAGAAUUACAUUAAAAAUGUAUAAAUUAAGUUUUACAUCAAAAAUAAAAAAUUAAAAGAAGAAGAAUUGUAACAUUUAGAUUUAACAGAAUAAUUUUAUUAUUGUGCAUGUGUGUCAUAUAUUUUACUCACUUAAUCGAAUACAAACACUUAUUAUAAUAUGCAAAUUUAUUUUAUCUAUAUAAUUAUUUUUUAAAUAAGUUAUUUAGAUUAUUUUAUAAUUUAUAAUUUUUGGAAUAAGGUUCUUGUACAUAUAUGAAAGUAUAUAUAUGGAAUUCCGUGAUAUCAUAGAAUAAAGAUAAAAUACAUUUCUAAAUUUUAAAUAUUUCUAUUAAUUACAUGUAGUGUUACGGUGGGAUUUAAUAUAUAGAUGUAAUAAUUGUCACUAUUUUUCCACUAUUUUUUACUACAUCUUUGGAGUAAAGGUGGUUUACGAUAAUGGCUGCACAAAUGGUAUUAUCGCUCUUGAGUACGUACAUCUUCCUUGUCGCAUUGUUAGGUGCUCAUUUCGAGCCCUUAACGUUUCCCAGUUUCCUUUCGUCGAUUUUCCCACCUAUGCUUCCUUGAAACUGGGAACAUAAUUGCGAAGUCUUGUCACAGAGAAUUAGGCGCUUGACUAUGCUUUCCGGUAAUGCUUCUACAAUUUACUAACGAGGAAAUUAUAGCACCCAUUCGGAAUCGAUAGCGAACAUUUAUCGACCUCAUGCGAUGUAAACGUGACAAUUUCACUUUGAUACAUAUUUAUUACAACCUGUACAUAUAUACAUGUGUUGUAUAAGUACCUAUAAUUGCAUCAACCUUCAUGUUUGUUUUUAUAAACUGUUAUUUUUCCAUUUGAAACAAAUUCCCAAUUUGCUUCUGUAUUUGAAUAAUAUUUAGCAAUAUCAGAAUUCCAGAGUAGAAUAUAAAUUCUAGCGGCAUUAUUUGCAGCAACAAUAAUUGACGACAGAGCAGUAGUUUGGUUUUGCGAAAGGUCCUCCGAGAAGCAGUUAAAUCUGAUUAGUUGAGAAAAGCGCUGCAGAAACUCUUGUUAAGACGCGCUACGAGCGACGUCACGUCCUGAGUUAUCCGCUUCUACCUUCCGGCCUGUUUCCACUCCAUCUUACCAAAGCAUCCUUCCAGUGCAAAUGAAACGCCUGGCGCAAUCCUCGCUGACGAGGUGCUCGCUGGGCUGCAACCUCAUUGGACCAACCAUGCUGCUUGUAAUCUGUCCGCCAUCGCUCUCAUUUGAGCCCCCGAAUUCAGAUAGUGCAUUAAUGAACCAUUUCUAAGUUGAUCAUGAGAUAAAAAUAUACGUGCAAGUUGCGAAACAUUUCUAUUUGUUGUUGUUGUUGUUGUUACAUUUACAUGUCUUUUAUUACUUACUAAUAUAUUAUUGCUAAUUAUCCUUGCAGAAAAUAUAAUACAAAAAAAUUUUGGGGUUUAUGAUACGUUAUAGUCCGUCUAUAUACAGAGAUAAUCAUGAUACUUUAUAAAUUAAUUUUUCUAAUUUUUCUCAUUCUAACAUAUGUAUACAAGCUGUAGAUAGAAACUAAAUAGAAUUAAAAGUUUUAUGUUUAGUUAUAAAUAUACAUUUAUUGUGAAUGAUUAUUAAAAGGUAAUUUACUGUUAGCCGUCGAUGAAAGAGAGAAUAGUUUCUCAAGUUUAGUUGAAAAAUAUCUGAAGUCUUUCUUUUUUUAUUUUAUUGCUACAUGUGCAUAUGCACGAACUGAACAAUAUGUAUUGAACUAUUGUUAGAUUUAACGAUAUUGGAUAUUCGAUAGAAGUGACUUUUGUCUUGCGUGGAAUCACAAUAUGGCCGAUAAUCAUAAAGAUGCAACGUGAGAUUGUACAAAUAUGGAAGCAUACGCUUGAACGUGUCUUAUCGUAGAAAUAGCGCGGAUUGUCUAUAUUCAGCCACAUUUUUCAUUUCGUUUAAAGCGCUUUCUCCGCUUUUUAAAAAGUGUCUAUGAAAUGAAAUCCAUCCCAAGUCGCAACAAAAUAAUUAAAUUUUUAAUUAUUUUUCUUAAUUAAAUUUCUAAUAAUUGGAAAAUACGAUAAAAUGUGUUUGAUAUUUUAGAAUCUUAAUUUGUCCUAUAAUUGUAUGGAAAUGUUUAAUAUUGAAAAUUCAAGACAUACACUGAAAAAAAAA
Monomorium pharaonis (pharaoh ant) is the source of this 4469-nucleotide long non-coding RNA. RefSeq lists it as uncharacterized. Lineage: Eukaryota; Metazoa; Arthropoda; Insecta; Hymenoptera; Formicidae. The transcript is spliced from 2 exons. The record is from RefSeq and is a predicted model, not a curated record.